RNAcentral lists this ribosomal RNA (507 nucleotides) under uncultured bacterium. RNAcentral's name for it is "partial 16S ribosomal RNA". The record is from RNAcentral.
GGAGUUAGCCGGUGCUUCUUCUGUGAGUGAUGUCCUUCCUGCCGGCUAUUAACCCGCAGGCCUUCUUCCUCACUGAAAGUGCUUUACAACCCGAAGGCCUUCUUCACACACGCGGCAUGGCUGGAUCAGGGUUGCCCCCAUUGUCCAAUAUUCCCCACUGCUGCCUCCCGUAGGAGUCUGGGCCGUGUCUCAGUCCCAGUGUGGCUGAUCAUCCUCUCAGACCAGCUACGGAUCGUCGCCUUGGUGAGCCGUUACCUCACCAACCAGCUAAUCCGACAUAGGCUCAUCCGAUAGCGCGAGGCCCGAAGGUCCCCCGCUUUCCCCCGUAGGGCGUAUGCGGUAUUAGCCUGGGUUUCCCCAGGGUUAUCCCCCACUACCGGGCAGAUUCCUAUGCAUUACUCACCCGUCCGCCGCUCGCCACCAGGGAGCAAGCUCCCCGUGCUGCCGCUCGACUUGCAUGUGUUAGGCCUGCCGCCAGCGUUCAAUCUGACCAAGAUCAAAUUCUGA